UUGCUCGCUUUGGCAGCACAUAUACUAAAAUUGGAACGAUACAGAGAAGAUUAGCAUGGCCCCCUGCAAGGAUAGCAUGCAAAUUCAUGAAGUGUUCCACAUUUUU
Castor canadensis (American beaver) is the source of this 106-nucleotide small nuclear RNA. The record is from Ensembl. NCBI's taxonomy places the organism in Eukaryota, Metazoa, Chordata, Mammalia, Rodentia, Castoridae.